AGGCAGAUUUUUUGGCGGGUAGUGGACGGGUAAAACCAGAGGGAGGCAGCAAUGCAACACAAAGGAUGCCAGCUGCCGUAAAACCCCAAAGAAGAAGAAGAAG
Sebastes umbrosus (honeycomb rockfish) is the source of this 103-nucleotide long non-coding RNA. RefSeq lists it as uncharacterized. The record is from RefSeq and is a predicted model, not a curated record. NCBI's taxonomy places the organism in Eukaryota, Metazoa, Chordata, Actinopteri, Perciformes, Sebastidae. The transcript is spliced from 3 exons.